GGCGCACUUUUCUGUGUGUCGCGCUAGUACCUUCUGAUAGUAAGCCGGAACUCGGACUAUCAGUAAUACAAUAUCUACUAAACGUUCGUACAAUGGCACACCAUAAUAACAAGUUGUCAACAUCACGCAUCUCACAUACGGAAGUCACUGCAGCUUAAGCUUUUAUAUUAGCUGGAGGAACAAAAUAGAAGGAGGCUCCAAAAAGGGUUUAAAAAAGAGAAUGAUAAAAGUUGCUCGUUACCUUUUCCUCAUCUCGGUGAAACUAACCCGAACCGCACGACGUAACGAGGGCAUCAAUUUGUCGUGCUACAACAGUGGCUGAACUUCCGUAUUGGCAGGAUCUACAACCUUAUCAAAAUUCGAACAUCAGAACGUCUAAGCAACAACAACAAAGCCCUUGUCAUUUUGGCUGUUACACUGGUCAUGUGAACAGAGAGAAUGAAUUUUCUUCCCCAUGGCUUGGCUCUUAGCACUCUUGUUCCAGACGGCUUCAGUACGUCAAAUUAGAAACCAAUGCCGACCAUCUGGAUAUCACUCGACACAAUACGCCCACUGCACCGCCGUACGCAUUUGCUGGAGUGCAUACGUUCUCCUAGAUCAAAUUGCAAGAUUUUAUGAGCUAGAUAAUUUGCCAAUUGCCUUUACAGAAUUUUGAGAUAAAUUGUUUCACAAUAACGUAAUACUUAACACAUUAACCUAAACUUCACCCUGUCGACUGCCGAGCAGAAUGUAUACUGAGACUGACUAAUGCACUCUCCCAUAAAACCAACGCUAGGUUUCAAAACUUCUUGAUUAAUUACAUUUUUCAAAGAUCUUAUUUGAGCAGUUUGUAAUUAUUUGCCAACAUUGUGAAAUAUUUUAUACGUUAAUAAAUUUUUACAGAUGCGAA
RNAcentral lists this long non-coding RNA (889 nucleotides) under Daphnia magna. RNAcentral describes it as "uncharacterized LOC123474627". The record is from RNAcentral. Lineage: Eukaryota; Metazoa; Arthropoda; Branchiopoda; Diplostraca; Daphniidae.